Molecule: ribosomal RNA, 255 nt
Filed under: uncultured bacterium
Lineage: Bacteria
Description: partial 16S ribosomal RNA
Rfam family: Bacterial small subunit ribosomal RNA
Source: RNAcentral
CGGACGGGUGAGUAACGCGUGGAAAACCUGCCGUAUACUGUGGGAUAACACUUAGAAAUAGGUGCUAAUACCGCAUAAGCGCACAGCUUCGCAUGAAGCGGUGUGAAAAACUCUGGUGGUAUACGAUGGUUCCGCGUCUGAUUAGCUAGUUGGUGGGGUAAUGGCCUACCAAGGCAACGAUCAGUAGCCGGCCUGAGAGGGUGAACGGCCACAUUGGGACUGAGACACGGCCCAAACUCCUACGGGAGGCAGCAG